This 208-nucleotide ribosomal RNA is filed under the name uncultured Mesotoga sp. RNAcentral describes it as "partial 16S ribosomal RNA". It matches the Rfam family "Bacterial small subunit ribosomal RNA", at positions 568 to 774 of the family's 1533-position model. Lineage: Bacteria; Thermotogati; Thermotogota; Thermotogae; Kosmotogales; Kosmotogaceae. The record is from RNAcentral.
AGCGUAGGUGGCCUAACAUGUCAACUGUGAAAACCCGGAGCUCAACUCCGGACUUGCAGUUGAAACUGGUAGGCUUGAGGACGGUAGAGGAAGACGGAACUGCCAGUGUAGGGGGUAAAAUCCUUAGAUAUUGGCAGGAACGCCGGUGACGAAGGUGGUUUUCUGGGCCGGUUCUGACACUGAUGCUCGAAAGCCAGGGGAGCGAACG